Molecule: ribosomal RNA, 468 nt
Filed under: uncultured bacterium
Lineage: Bacteria
Description: partial 16S ribosomal RNA
Rfam family: Bacterial small subunit ribosomal RNA
Source: RNAcentral
GACGGACGCUGGCGGCGUGCUUAACACAUGCAAGUCGAACGGAAAGGCCCUGCUUUUGUGGGGUGCUCGAGUGGCGAACGGGUGAGUAACACGUGAGUAACCUGCCCUUGACUUUGGGAUAACUUCAGGAAACUGGGGCUAAUACAGGAUAGGAGCUCCUGCUGCAUGGUGGGGGUUGGAAAGUUUCGGCGGUUGGGGAUGGACUCGCGGCUUAUCAGCUUGUUGGUGGGGUAGUGGCUUACCAAGGCUUUGACGGGUAGCCGGCCUGAGAGGGUGACCGGCCACAUUGGGACUGAGAUACGGCCCAGACUCCUACGGGAGGCAGCAGUGGGGAAUAUUGCACAAUGGGCGGAAGCCUGAUGCAGCAACGCCGCGUGCGGGAUGACGGCCUUCGGGUUGUAAACCGCUUUCGCCUGUGACGAAGCGUGAGUGACGGUAAUGGGUAAAGAAGCACCGGCUAACUACGUG